This 494-nucleotide ribosomal RNA is filed under the name uncultured bacterium. RNAcentral describes it as "partial 16S ribosomal RNA". It matches the Rfam family "Bacterial small subunit ribosomal RNA", at positions 28 to 507 of the family's 1533-position model. The record is from RNAcentral.
GACGAACGCUGGCGGCGUGCUUAACACAUGCAAGUCGAACGGAAAGGCCUGCUUUCCCUUGUGGAUUGCGGGUACUCGAGUGGAGAACGGGUGAGUAACACGUGGGUGAUCUGCCCCCAACUUGGGUAUAAGCCUGGGAACCUGGGUCUAAUUCCCGAUAGGACUGCAGGCUGGUGCCUGUGGUGGAAAACGAUUUUCUAGUGGUUGGGGAUGAGCUCGCGGCCUAUCAGCUUGUUGGUGGGGUAAUGGCCUACCAAGGCGGCGACGGGUAGCCGGCCGGAGAGGGUGGAAGGCGACAUGGGGACUGGGAUAGGGCCCAGACGACUACGGGAGGCAGCAGUGGGGAAUAGUGCACAAUGGUGGGGAGCCUGAUGCAGCGACGGCGCGUGGGGGAUGACGGCCUUCGGGUUGUAAACUCCUUUCGACCGCGAGGAAGCCACCUGGUUGGAAGGGUGGUGACGGUAGUGGUAGAAGAAGCACCGGCUAACUACGUG